Molecule: ribosomal RNA, 578 nt
Filed under: uncultured bacterium
Lineage: Bacteria
Description: partial 16S ribosomal RNA
Rfam family: Bacterial small subunit ribosomal RNA
Source: RNAcentral
UGGGGAAUUUUGGACAAUGGGGGAAACCCUGAUCCAGCCAUCCCGCGUGUGCGAUGAAGGCCUUCGGGUUGUAAAGCACUUUUGGCAGGAAAGAAACGUCGCGGGUUAAUACCCCGCGAAACUGACGGUACCUGCAGAAUAAGCACCGGCUAACUACGUGCCAGCAGCCGCGGUAAUACGUAGGGUGCAAGCGUUAAUCGGAAUUACUGGGCGUAAAGCGUGCGCAGGCGGUUCGGAAAGAAAGAUGUGAAAUCCCAGAGCUUAACUUUGGAACUGCAUUUUUAACUACCGGGCUAGAGUGUGUCAGAGGGAGGUGGAAUUCCGCGUGUAGCAGUGAAAUGCGUAGAUAUGCGGAGGAACACCGAUGGCGAAGGCAGCCUCCUGGGAUAACACUGACGCUCAUGCACGAAAGCGUGGGGAGCAAACAGGAUUAGAUACCCUGGUAGUCCACGCCCUAAACGAUGUCAACUAGCUGUUGGGGCCUUCGGGCCUUGGUAGCGCAGCUAACGCGUGAAGUUGACCGCCUGGGGAGUACGGUCGCAAGAUUAAAACUCAAAUGAAUUGACGGGGUCGAUANC